This 740-nucleotide ribosomal RNA is filed under the name Burkholderia multivorans. RNAcentral describes it as "bacterial SSU rRNA". It matches the Rfam family "Bacterial small subunit ribosomal RNA", at positions 48 to 781 of the family's 1533-position model. The record is from RNAcentral. Lineage: Bacteria; Pseudomonadati; Pseudomonadota; Betaproteobacteria; Burkholderiales; Burkholderiaceae.
CUUACACAUGCAAGUCGAACGGCAGCACGGGUGCUUGCACCUGGUGGCGAGUGGCGAACGGGUGAGUAAUACAUCGGAACAUGUCCUGUAGUGGGGGAUAGCCCGGCGAAAGCCGGAUUAAUACCGCAUACGAUCUACGGAUGAAAGCGGGGGACCUUCGGGCCUCGCGCUAUAGGGUUGGCCGAUGGCUGAUUAGCUAGUUGGUGGGGUAAAGGCCUACCAAGGCGACGAUCAGUAGCUGGUCUGAGAGGACGACCAGCCACACUGGGACUGAGACACGGCCCAGACUCCUACGGGAGGCAGCAGUGGGGAAUUUUGGACAAUGGGCGAAAGCCUGAUCCAGCAAUGCCGCGUGUGUGAAGAAGGCCUUCGGGUUGUAAAGCACUUUUGUCCGGAAAGAAAUCCCUGGCUCUAAUACAGUCGGGGGAUGACGGUACCGGAAGAAUAAGCACCGGCUAACUACGUGCCAGCAGCCGCGGUAAUACGUAGGGUGCGAGCGUUAAUCGGAAUUACUGGGCGUAAAGCGUGCGCAGGCGGUCUGUUAAGACAGAUGUGAAAUCCCCGGGCUCAACCUGGGAACUGCAUUUGUGACUGGCAGGCUAGAGUAUGGCAGAGGGGGGUAGAAUUCCACGUGUAGCAGUGAAAUGCGUAGAGAUGUGGAGGAAUACCGAUGGCGAAGGCAGCCCCCUGGGCCAAUACUGACGCUCAUGCACGAAAGCGUGGGGAGCAAACAGGAUUAG